GGAACGUUGGAAGCACCAGUCCUCCCCCAGCUGCUCAGCAGGUUGGGUGUGGAGCAGCAAAGACAGAUGGCUGACGGAGCUGAAACCCGGGAGUCUGCAGGAUGAAUGUGGUGGAGGGCCAAGAGGAAGCACUGUGACCCUAUCAGCCAAGUGCGGAUCUGCCAGCUUUAGCCUGCCGAGAGACCUCAAAAAUUAACUACAAGGACAGAAGUGGGAUGAGUCAAGGACAAGUUGUUUCCUGGACCAGAAGCUCCACCAAGGCGAGACCUGGCUUCCUCGUCUGCAAGGGGUCUGCCCUGCUCUGUCUACUCUGCAGGACUGCUGUGUUGAUCAGAGGGGAUCCUGCACUUGAAGAUGCCUUGGAACUGCCAAGUGAUGUGAAAUGCCAUGAAGGGGCAUUUACCAGGUGAGCUGAAGACAGAGCCAGUCAGUGCAAGUCCCACAUGGCUCCCCUUCUCCACAUGGAGCCGGUGCUCUUGGCCUGAUCACUCCGACCAGCUCUCCCCAAGAUGGGGAGGCGUCUGCUCUAGAGCUAAACCCAUGCAGGGGUCCAAGUGAUGCUUGGCAGGGGCUUCUCCAACAAGCACACAAAGGGCUUGGCACCCGGCUCUCUGGGCUC
Molecule: long non-coding RNA, 619 nt
Organism: Hipposideros armiger (great roundleaf bat)
Lineage: Eukaryota; Metazoa; Chordata; Mammalia; Chiroptera; Hipposideridae
Exons: 4
Source: RefSeq, a predicted model, not a curated record